RNAcentral lists this long non-coding RNA (1074 nucleotides) under Apteryx haastii (Great spotted kiwi). RNAcentral describes it as "lncRNA (ENSAHAG00000013416.1)". The record is from RNAcentral. Lineage: Eukaryota; Metazoa; Chordata; Aves; Apterygiformes; Apterygidae.
AUGAGCGGGGCGCCGGGGGCUGCUCCCCGCCGUGCAGAGGCCUCCCCUCCCCUCGCCCUGGCAGAGCCCGGCGCGAGGAGAGGUGCUCCGGGAGCCGCCGGGCCAGCGGCCUCGGGCCCCCUGCCCCUCCCGGGCCUGCGGGUCGGGCCAGCCCCCCGCGCCUCUCCCUGCAGCCCUCCGGGGAUGGGACCAGCCCCGCCAGGAAACCAGCCCGGGGAGGUGCCACCAGGCCCGCCUCGGCGGGGUCAGCCUUACCCGUCUUCUUCUUCUUCUUCUCCUUCUCCUCCUCCUCCUCCUCCUCCGCCGCCGCCUCCCCCACCACGGCAGCCGCCGCCACUACCGCCGCCACCAGCGCCGCCUCCGCCCGGCAGGGGGGACCCCGCCGACCCGACCCGCUCCGCAGCCUCCCGCCGCCGCCGUUCCGCUCCGGGGGAGGAGGAGGAGGAGGAGGAGGAAGGGAAGGGGGGCGUCCGUGCUGCCGCCACUGGCGGGCGAAGCGGGGAGGCUGGGGUGGGUGGGUGUCUGCGGGCGCCGCUCCCGUCCUCAGCUGGAACCGCUCCGGCUCCGCGUCGCUCCCGGCCUCCCCUCCCCCCGCUCGCUGCGCUCCAAAUCAAAAUAGUGUCACAAUAUGGCGGCCGCGGCGGCGGCCCAGCAUCGCGAGACCUUGCCCCGAGUGCUAACGGGAUGCGGCGCGCGGGGGAAGGGGGCGGCGCGGGCGCCAAUGGGCGGCGGGCGGGGGGCCGCGCGCGGGCGGGGGCGGAGACCCCGCCACCACCCCCGCGCGCCGCGCGGAGGGGCCGGACCGCCUCCUCCCCCCUGCUCCCCUCUCCGCGGCGCGCGCACGACACGCGUGCGGUAACGGCCGCCUCGAGGGGGGCGGGCGGCCGGGCAGAGCGACCCCCGCCCCGCCCCUCUUCUGCUCCCGCGGACUGCGAGGCGGCCGGGCAGCCCCGGCCCGGCCCGGCCCGGGCGGGGAGGGGGGCGAUGCGCCAGAGACUUGCCCCCUCCUCCGCCACCUUCUCUCGCCCCCGGCGCCUUUUCAGCUCCUUCCCCACUUACCCCGGGGCUCCCUAG